This 447-nucleotide ribosomal RNA is filed under the name uncultured bacterium. RNAcentral describes it as "partial 16S ribosomal RNA". It matches the Rfam family "Bacterial small subunit ribosomal RNA", at positions 330 to 794 of the family's 1533-position model. The record is from RNAcentral.
GCCAGACUCCUACGGGAGGCAGCAGUGGGGGAUAUUGCACAAUGGGGGAAACCCUGAUGCAGCGACGCCGCGUGGGUGAGGAAGUAUUUCGGUAUGUAAAGCCCUAUCAGCAGGGAAGAAGAUGACAGUACCUGACUAAGAAGCCCCGGCUAACUACGUGCCAGCAGCCGCGGUAAUACGUAGGGGGCAAGCGUUAUCCGGAUUUACUGGGUGUAAAGGGGGCGCAGACGGCGAUGCAAGCCAGGAGUGAAAGCCCGGGGCCCAACCCCGGGACUGCUCUUGGAACUGCGUGGCUAGAGUGCAGGAGGGGCAGGCGGAAUUCCUGGUGUAGCGGUGAAAUGCGUAGAUAUCAGGAGGAACACCGGUGGCGAAGGCGGCCUGCUGGACUGCAACUGACGCUGAGGCACGAAAGUGUGGGGAGCAAACAGGAUUAGAUACCCCCGUAAA